This 391-nucleotide unclassified non-coding RNA is filed under the name soil metagenome. RNAcentral's name for it is "partial contains 5.8S ribosomal RNA, internal transcribed spacer 2, and large subunit ribosomal RNA". The stretch from base 1 to 122 matches the Rfam family "5.8S ribosomal RNA", at positions 35 to 154 of the family's 154-position model. The record is from RNAcentral.
GAUGAAGAACGUAGCGAAAUGCGAUACUUGGUGUGAAUUGCAGAAUCCCGUGAACCAUCGAGUCUUUGAACGCAAGUUGCGCCCGAAGCCAUUAGGCCGAGGGCACGCCUGCCUGGGCGUCACACGUCGUUGCCCCCCCAUCUACUCCUUCGGGAUUGCGGGGGGCGGAUGACGGCCUCUCGUGCGCCUCGUCGCGCGGUUGGCCUAAAUGCCAAGUCCUCGGCGACGCACGCCACGACAAUCGGUGGUUGCGAAACCUCGGUUGCCUGUCGUGUGCGGUCGUCGCGCAUCGAGGGCUCGAAAAAAUUGCCGGGCUUCGGCUCGACUUUCAACGCGACCCCAGGUCAGGCGGGGUUACCCGCUGAAUUUAAGCAUAUCAAUAAGCGGAGGA